This 484-nucleotide ribosomal RNA is filed under the name uncultured bacterium. Its description in RNAcentral is "partial 16S ribosomal RNA". It matches the Rfam family "Bacterial small subunit ribosomal RNA", at positions 30 to 507 of the family's 1533-position model. The record is from RNAcentral.
AUUGAACGCUGGCGGCAUGCCUUACACAUGCAAGUCGAACGGCAGCACGGGAGUAAUCCUGGUUGCGAGUGGCGAACGGGUGAGUAAAGCAUCUGAACUUGCCCAUUCGUUGUGUAUAACGUAUCGAAAGCUACGCUAAUACCUCAUACGAUCUGUGUAUGAAAGCGGGGGUCCGUAAUUCCUCGCCCGCUUGUAUCGUCCGAUGUCAGAUUAGGUAGUUGGUGAGGUAAAGGCUCACCAAGCCGACGAUCUGUAGCUGGUCUGAGAGGACGACCAGCCACACUGGGACUGAGACACGGACCAGACUCCUACGGGAGGCAGCAGUGGGGAAUUUUGGACAAUGGGCGCAAGCCUGAUACAGCAAUGCCGCGUGAAGGAUGAAGGACUUCGGGUUGUAAACUGCUUUUGUAAGGAGCGAAAAGGAUUCCACUAAUACUGGGGGCUAAUGACGGUACCGUAAGAAUAAGCACCGGCUAACUACGUG